Small nuclear RNA from Topomyia yanbarensis, 102 nucleotides. NCBI's taxonomy places the organism in Eukaryota, Metazoa, Arthropoda, Insecta, Diptera, Culicidae. The record is from RefSeq and is a predicted model, not a curated record.
GUCUUAGGUUUGACUGGACGUAUACUAAAAUUGAAACGACACAGAGAAGAUUAGGAUGGCUCCAGUGCAAUGAAAGAGUAAUGAGCAAUAUUUUACUGUAUU